AGAGUUAGGGAGACUAUCGCCGGUACGAAGGUACGGGAGGAAAGUCCGGGCUCCACAUGGCAGCUUAGCGGGUAACGCCCGUCCACCGUGAGGUGAGGACAAGUGCAACAGAAAGAAAGUACAGGGGUUUGAACGAGAUUGGGGUAGCUUCGGCCGGCCAAUCCGUGAAGGGCAACCUACCUGCUGUAGUGAAAACAGGUAAACUCUAGGCGGUGCAAGUUUGAAUAGGUUCACAUUUUGGGGGUAGCCAGCUUCCGUGAACGGGUUAAGCGCUUGAGCCUAGGAGUAAUUCUAGGCCUAGACGAAUGAUAGUCCAAUACAGAACCCGGCUUAUACCCUAACUCUUUUU
This 349-nucleotide RNase P RNA is filed under the name Halobacteriovorax sp. RNAcentral describes it as "RNase P RNA component class A". It matches the Rfam family "Bacterial RNase P class A". From Rfam's summary of the family: Ribonuclease P (RNase P) is a ubiquitous endoribonuclease, found in archaea, bacteria and eukarya as well as chloroplasts and mitochondria. Its best characterised activity is the generation of mature 5'-ends of tRNAs by cleaving the 5'-leader elements of precursor-tRNAs. Lineage: Bacteria; Pseudomonadati; Bdellovibrionota; Bacteriovoracia; Bacteriovoracales; Halobacteriovoraceae. The record is from RNAcentral.